GACGAACGCUGGCGGCGUGCUUAACACAUGCAAGUCGAGCGGUAAGGCCCUUUCGGGGGUACACGAGCGGCGAACGGGUGAGUAACACGUGGGUGACCUGCCCUCAGCUCUGGGAUAAGCCUGGGAAACCGGGUCUAAUACUGGAUAUGACUCCAUGACGCAUGUUGUGGGGUGGAAAGCCUUGUGCGGCUGAGGAUGGGCCCGCGGCCUAUCAGCUUGUUGGUGGGGUGANGGCCUACCAAGGCGACGACGGGUAGCCGGCCUGAGAGGGCGACCGGCCACACUGGGACUGAGACACGGCCCAGACUCUACGGGAGGCAGCAGUGGGGAAUAUUGGACAAUGGGGGCAACCCUGAUCCAGCGACGCCGCGUGGGUGAAGAAGGCCUGCGGG
RNAcentral lists this ribosomal RNA (392 nucleotides) under uncultured bacterium. Its description in RNAcentral is "bacterial SSU rRNA". It matches the Rfam family "Bacterial small subunit ribosomal RNA", at positions 28 to 422 of the family's 1533-position model. The record is from RNAcentral.